AACGCACCUUGCGCUCCUUGGUAUUCCGAGGAGCAUGCCUGUUUGAGUGUCAUUAAAUUCUCAACCUUUAUCAGUUUUACUGGUGAAUGGCUUGGAUGUGGGAGUUGCUGGUUUCAUGUUUUUGAAAUCAGCUCUUCUGAAAUGCAUUAGCUGGUUGCCUUGUGCAAACUUGUCUAUUGGUGUGAUAAUUAUCUACGCCGUGGACUUGCAUGAAUGAGCACUGCUUAUAAUCGUCUGUAAAGACAAUUUAUGACAAUUUGACCUCAAAUCAGGUAGGACUACCCGCUGAACUUAA
Molecule: unclassified non-coding RNA, 295 nt
Filed under: uncultured Stropharia
Lineage: Eukaryota; Fungi; Basidiomycota; Agaricomycetes; Agaricales; Strophariaceae
Description: sequence contains ITS2
Rfam family: 5.8S ribosomal RNA (bases 1-52)
Source: RNAcentral